GAUGAACGCUAGCGGCAGGCUUAAUACAUGCAAGUCGAGGGGCAGCGCGGGUAGCAAUACCUGGCGGCGACCGGCAAACGGGUGCGGAACACGUACGCAACUUUCCUUCGAGUGGGGAAUAGCCCAGGGAAACUUGGAUUAAUACCCCGUAAUAUUAUGAAGUGGCAUCACUUUAUAAUUAUAGUUACGACGCUUGAAGAUGGGCGUGCGGCUGAUUAGGUAGUUGGCGGGGUAACGGCCCACCAAGCCUACGAUCAGUAACUGGUGUGAGAGCACGACCAGUCACACGGGCACUGAGACACGGGCCCGACUCCUACGGGAGGCAGCAGUAAGGAAUAUUGGUCAAUGGACGCAAGUCUGAACCAGCCAUGCCGCGUGGAGGAUGAAGGUCCUCUGGAUUGUAAACUUCUUUUAUAUGGACGAAAAAGGGCCUUUCCAGGUCAACUGACGGUACCAUAUGAAUAAGCACCGGCUAACUCCGUGCCAGCCGCCGCCGUAAU
This 500-nucleotide ribosomal RNA is filed under the name uncultured bacterium. RNAcentral's name for it is "bacterial SSU rRNA". It matches the Rfam family "Bacterial small subunit ribosomal RNA", at positions 28 to 524 of the family's 1533-position model. The record is from RNAcentral.